GAGAUUGUAGUUCAAUCGGUCAAAGCACCGCCCUCUUAAGGUGGAAGCUGCGGGUUCGAUCCCGUCAAUCCA
RNAcentral lists this transfer RNA (72 nucleotides) under Ricinus communis (castor bean). It matches the Rfam family "tRNA". Rfam says of the family: Transfer RNA (tRNA) molecules are approximately 80 nucleotides in length. Their secondary structure includes four short double-helical elements and three loops (D, anti-codon, and T loops). Lineage: Eukaryota; Viridiplantae; Streptophyta; Magnoliopsida; Malpighiales; Euphorbiaceae. The record is from Rfam by way of RNAcentral.